UUUAUAUAGUGCUGAAGU
This 18-nucleotide unclassified non-coding RNA is filed under the name Chlamydomonas reinhardtii. RNAcentral's name for it is "small RNA Cre_4101". Lineage: Eukaryota; Viridiplantae; Chlorophyta; Chlorophyceae; Chlamydomonadales; Chlamydomonadaceae. The record is from RNAcentral.